RNAcentral lists this transfer RNA (72 nucleotides) under Pseudomonadota bacterium. RNAcentral's name for it is "tRNA-Arg". It matches the Rfam family "tRNA". Rfam says of the family: Transfer RNA (tRNA) molecules are approximately 80 nucleotides in length. Their secondary structure includes four short double-helical elements and three loops (D, anti-codon, and T loops). RNAcentral also lists the same sequence under 4 other names. Lineage: Bacteria; Pseudomonadati; Pseudomonadota. The record is from RNAcentral.
GCGCCCGUGGUGAAAUGGAUAUCACAACGGUCUUCGGAACCGUCGUUGGGGGUUCAAGUCCCUCCGGGCGCG